Molecule: ribosomal RNA, 311 nt
Filed under: uncultured Pelagibacterales bacterium
Lineage: Bacteria; Pseudomonadati; Pseudomonadota; Alphaproteobacteria; Candidatus Pelagibacterales
Description: SSU rRNA
Rfam family: Bacterial small subunit ribosomal RNA
Source: RNAcentral
ACGUACGCUGGCGGCACGCCUAACACAUGCAAGUCGAACGAAGUAGCAAUACUUAGUGGCAGACGGGUGAGUAACAUGUGGGUAUCUACCCUUUGGCCUGGAAUAACACGAGGAAACUUGUGCUAAUACCGGAUAAGUCUUUACGGAGAAAGCUUUAUGCACCAUUGGAUGAGCCCGCACUUGAUUAGCUAGUUGGUGAGGUAAUGGCUCACCAAGGCGACGAUCUUUAGCUGGUCUGAGAGGAUGAUCAGCCACAUUGGGACUGAGACACGGCCCAAACUCCUACGGGAGGCAGCAGUGGGGAAUCUUGC